This is a long non-coding RNA of Salvelinus sp. IW2-2015, 365 nucleotides long. RefSeq lists it as uncharacterized. NCBI's taxonomy places the organism in Eukaryota, Metazoa, Chordata, Actinopteri, Salmoniformes, Salmonidae. The record is from RefSeq and is a predicted model, not a curated record.
GAUAAAGCUGUAGUUUACAACAGACGACUGACUGAGGAGAGACCAAUCCAGGAGCAGAUUGCAGAGGCAGAUGAUGUAAAAGCAGCAGUGGAGUCUGCAGACACCAAACCUGCUGUGGAGCCUAAAGAGGUGAAGGAGGUGGAACCAGAGCAGAGAACGAUGACUUCACCCUGCUCAAGUCCCUGCCGAAGGUCAAAGGUCAAAAGAGACCAAUGAGACGCCGGUCAGAGAUAGCCUGGAGGAGUGCCUUACUUCCCAGACGAAUCAGAUUCCACCAAGAACCGCCGGCUAGCCGAAGACUAUGACUCAACAAAGAUGGAAAACGGCAAGUACCAAGGUAUCUAGUUUAGUCUGUUUAUACUACA